This 426-nucleotide ribosomal RNA is filed under the name Triticum aestivum (bread wheat). Its description in RNAcentral is "partial small subunit ribosomal RNA". Lineage: Eukaryota; Viridiplantae; Streptophyta; Magnoliopsida; Poales; Poaceae. The record is from RNAcentral.
AUGAAAUUUGAGAAGGGCCUCAGUACUGCCACAUUAUUAUCUAAUGAGGUUAAAUGUAAACAAGUGGCUUUAUUGGAGCGAGACAUCCUUCUGAAGAAUCUAAAGAGUGUAUUGGAGUCACUGAGAGGACAAGUAGCUGGCAAAUAUAAGGAUGAAUUUGAGGAAUCAGUAUCUAUGGUGGAUAUUUUAGCAGUUCAGCUGUCCAAAAGAGAAAAUGAGUUGCUUCAGCAGAAAACCGAGGUCACGAGAAUAGCGACUUCACUGAAACUGGCUUCUGAAGAUGCUAGGAGAAUUGUUGACGAAGAACGAACUAAUGCACGCAUGGAGAUUGAAAAUGCUAGAGCUGCUGUACAAAGAGUUCAAAAAGUACUUCAAGAGAAAGAGAACAGUUCACAAAGAAUUGGAAAGCAGGUAAAUUGUAUAUAA